UUCCCAGCAUCUGCUUCAUCUUCAUCCUCAUCUUCGCCCAACUUAACAGGAGGAGCCACAAUUUUUGACUUCUGUUUCAAGCUGAAUGCAAGUUUUCCACCUGAAGGAAGCUGAGGGGUCUUGCUUGCACUAUUACCCUUAAAUUGCAUAGUUAUUUUACCAGUAGAAGGUUUAGGAGUUGUUGUCCCAGAAACAAUUGUUUUGGGUUUAGAUUCCUUUUCUGCGGCACCUAUAUCCUUCUCCUGGUCCUUUCCCUUGUCUUGCUGAAGUUGUUUGAACCUCUCCAUGAAAGAACCAUCAUUAACAAAAAGACUAGAAGGUGCUUUUUUAUCCAUUUCCAAAGGGCCAACUAUACUCAGGCUGUCUACAGGAGGCCACUGAAACGCGUUCGAUGAAGUGAAAAAUAUGACCUAGACCAGUAAUUCGUGGGUUUUUAAUUGUCGAUCGCAAGAUUAUUACUCGGGAUAGGUAUUGAAAGAAGAUAUUGAGCUAAUCUCUGACCUCUUAUCUUCUAACCGUCUCCGUCGAGGUAGAAGAGAUGGAGAGAGAGAGAGAGCGAGAGAGG
This 565-nucleotide unclassified non-coding RNA is filed under the name Hevea brasiliensis (rubber tree). Lineage: Eukaryota; Viridiplantae; Streptophyta; Magnoliopsida; Malpighiales; Euphorbiaceae. The record is from RNAcentral.